GCAAAGAAAGGUGAAAUCAACUACUUGCCCAACUUUCCGGAUGGAUUUGAUCAAGCUGCCCUGGAAGAGGCCCGUAAGGACUUGGCUGAUGAAAUGCAGAAGAGAACCCCAAAUGGACUUCUUGUAAAACAAAAGAUGGAUCAGACUUUUGCUUUGAGAAGAAAAGAGGUUGUGGACUCUGAACCCCCAUAAACAUGAUGGUGAAACGCUGGCCUGCCCUCUUCACAGAAGAUCAGGUGUUCAUGGAGUUCAGCAGGAUUGUGGGCAAGAACCUCAAGCAGGAAUUUUAUGAGAACAUCGAUCGGCACAGUCCUCGUUUCCUUGAGUUAUUUCGUUCCCAAGAGAGGGAAUGUUGGACAGUUGUUGACUCAGAUUUCACAACAGACCAAUACUACUGACCCAACUGCAAUCCGGACACAGGUGCUCAGAGGGCUUCCAAUCAUCCUGGGGGACAAUCCUUCAACCUUCUUCAAAGCAGGCUUUGAAUCAGAUGCUGAUUUUUUCCGUGACCUUGACAUCGGGAUUCUUCUCACUGAGCGUGAAGAGGCUGUGCUCACAUCUGCCCAGCAUCCAAGUCCAACCUUGUUGAAAAUUAUCAUUGAGGGAGAAGUCGUGAUGGAAAACAUCCAAGAUCUGCCUAAAGCAAUGUGCAUUCUGUUUGGACUCACGUAUGCACUCCAUCUUAACUAUCCUAAAAGUAUGAAGCUGACCUUUCUGUUCAUCCAACAGAUUUUGCUCUCAUUAGGCCACACUGACCUAAAGCCAAAGAUACAAUCUUUGAAAAAUCAGCUUACAAUGUAAAGUGAUGUCAUCUCUACUGUGACAUGUUUGU
Oreochromis aureus is the source of this 832-nucleotide long non-coding RNA. RefSeq lists it as uncharacterized. The record is from RefSeq and is a predicted model, not a curated record. NCBI's taxonomy places the organism in Eukaryota, Metazoa, Chordata, Actinopteri, Cichliformes, Cichlidae. The transcript has 4 exons.